Humulus lupulus (European hop) is the source of this 766-nucleotide long non-coding RNA. RefSeq lists it as uncharacterized. The record is from RefSeq and is a predicted model, not a curated record. NCBI's taxonomy places the organism in Eukaryota, Viridiplantae, Streptophyta, Magnoliopsida, Rosales, Cannabaceae. The transcript has 3 exons.
AAUCACAACCUCUCUAGAGGAGGCUAUGUGCGUAUUGAAGAGAUGUUAAUGGAACAAAGUGGGAAAAGUCUGACUGAACUUGAUAGGGCAGAUUUAUGGAGCAUGGGUCGUCGGAAUGCAAAAGGAGAGCUAAUUGGAGAGGCCUCUGAGAUUCAAAAAAUAUUGAUCAUUACCGGCAACUCCAAGCUGAGGGUAAAUGGGCACCUGAUGGCCCUGAUGAUGUGCUGACGAGGGCGUUGGGCACUCCUGAGCCUCGAGGACGUGUUAGGGCUGGAGGACACGGUGUGUCCCGCUCAGUAUAUAGGAAUACUCCAACACCUACCUCAACGAAAAAUAAAUCAAAAGCCUCUUCUUCGAAUGACGACAUCAGAAAGGAAUUUGAAGAAAGAUUUCGAAAACAAGAAGAAGAGCAUCGUCAACAAGCACAACGCCUAGAAGAGCGCCUUCAACAACAAGAUGAGCUCUUGAGAAAAUUAUUGGACCAACAGAGCGGGUCAGGAUCUAACGUUGGAGUCCCACCAGCGCCAUCAUCAUACUAUGUGCCCGACCCACCAGUGCCACCAGCGCAGGCGUCCUACUAUACUCCGGACCCAGUAGUGCCUCAAGCAGAACACCACAUUGUUGCACUACAACCGCUUUUGCAAGAGGGCCGAGCAUGCCAAUUAGCAAUUGGUUCGGUUUCAAACAUUGUUGCAUCAGGUACACUCAUUGAAAGAGAGGCAGGCAACAACUUCCAAGUUAUGAUUACGAGUGUUCUUAAGCCAAC